RNAcentral lists this ribosomal RNA (425 nucleotides) under uncultured bacterium. Its description in RNAcentral is "bacterial SSU rRNA". It matches the Rfam family "Bacterial small subunit ribosomal RNA", at positions 355 to 772 of the family's 1533-position model. The record is from RNAcentral.
UGGGGAAUUUUGGACAAUGGGGGCAACCCUGAUCCAGCCAUGCCGCGUGUGUGAAGAAGGCCUUCGGGUUGUAAAGCACUUUCGGACGGAACGAAAUCGCGCGAUCUAAUAAGCCGCGUGGAUGACGGUACCGUAAGAAGAAGCACCGGCUAACUACGUGCCAGCAGCCGCGGUAAUACGGAGGGUGCGAGCGUUAAUCGGAAUUACUGGGCGUAAAGUGUGCGCAGGCGGCGUCGCAAGUCGAGUGUGAAAGCCCCGGGCUUAACUUGGGAAUUGCGCUCGAAACUACGGUGCUGGAGUAUGGCAGAGGAAGGUGGAAUUCCACGUGUAGCGGUGAAAUGCGUAGAGAUGUGGAGGAACACCGAUGGCGAAGGCAGCCUUCUGGGCCAAUACUGACGCUCAUGCACGAAAGCGUGGGGAGCAAA